UUUAACUUUUUGUAUUUAUUUCAGAAAUCCAUUGAAAUCAAGAGUUUAGAGCCUCUGGCAGGUUGUAUGUACUCCCCUCCCAGGGGAGACCUGCCGAAGCAACAGCGUAAGAUUCACAAAGGGUGUUGAGUAGUAACUCUGUAAUGAUCCCUCCGCUGGUUCACCAACGGAGA
This 173-nucleotide unclassified non-coding RNA is filed under the name uncultured fungus. RNAcentral's name for it is "sequence contains ITS1". Lineage: Eukaryota; Fungi. The record is from RNAcentral.